This 254-nucleotide ribosomal RNA is filed under the name uncultured bacterium. Its description in RNAcentral is "partial 16S ribosomal RNA". It matches the Rfam family "Bacterial small subunit ribosomal RNA", at positions 524 to 776 of the family's 1533-position model. The record is from RNAcentral.
UACGUAGGGGGCGAGCGUUGUCCGAAGUUACUGGGCGUAAGGCGCGCGUAGGCGGCUUCUUAAGUCUGAGGUGAAAGGUUCAACGCUUAACGUGAACAGUGCCUUGGAUACUGGGGAGCUUGAGUGUGGCAGUGGAUAGUGGAAUUCCUGGUGUAGCGGUGAAAUGCGUAGAUAUCAGGAGGAACACCGGUGGCGAAGGCGGGUCUCUGGGCCGAUACUGACGCUGAGGAGCGAAAGCGUGGGGAGCGAACAGG